RNAcentral lists this long non-coding RNA (207 nucleotides) under Elaeis guineensis (African oil palm). RNAcentral's name for it is "long non-coding RNA (EGUI_LNC036462)". Lineage: Eukaryota; Viridiplantae; Streptophyta; Magnoliopsida; Arecales; Arecaceae. The record is from RNAcentral.
GAUUUUAAGAAAAUGAGCUUUAUAUUUUUCUUCUCCUUUGAUUUAUAAAUAGAGCACAUAAUAAAUCAAGCAAAUAAGUAUAAAUAUCAAACAACUAAUCAAUAAGCAUACUCAAUUUUCAAAAAGAAAUCAUGUUUUCAUUGAUUUUUAAAAAGUGAUUGCAAGAAGUGAUUACAUCAAUAUAUCCAAAGGAAUUAAAAAAAAAAU